Pan troglodytes (chimpanzee) is the source of this 1330-nucleotide long non-coding RNA. RefSeq lists it as uncharacterized. Lineage: Eukaryota; Metazoa; Chordata; Mammalia; Primates; Hominidae. The transcript is spliced from 5 exons. The record is from RefSeq and is a predicted model, not a curated record.
AAGAAAGUCAUUCAUUCUUUCUCCCCCACAGCUUCCUAGGUCUUCCAUGUGUUCAACGGAAAUUCACAAAUUCUCUAGUAGCAGAAGCCAAGAACAAGUUCUCUGGAUCACAUAGGCUCCUCUGCUGCUUCCUCAGAAACAGGGAAGGUACUUGGUGCCGAAGAAAGAGACAGAGACUGGGAAGGAGAAGGAAGUCAGCAGAAAGAAGAAAGACACACAGGAAAGAGAGAAGGGUAGCUAAAAGAAAGAGUCAGGGAGAUGGUUCCAGGAGAAGAAAAGAAAGUCAGUUGCUUUCUGAGAUCAGGUGGGAAGUUUAUCCUGUCAACUCCACCUUUAGAGUGCUAGUCUCUGGAGCCACAAGGACUGAAACUCUGCUUCAGAGACCCACCACUGAUGACAACCAUCAGGCUCAGGAACUGAAAAGAAAUGGUGCAAAUGUGGCCGAGGGACUUGGGUUUUACAUUUAUUGCCGAGUCUGGUUUUCUUGAGUUUCAGAUGAUAAAAUUGAAGCCCAGAGAAGCUUGGGAGCCUCAACUAUUAAUGGAAAAACCAUAACUAGAACUGAGUUUUCCUGAGACAUUUUUUACUAUUCAUUCCCCUGCUCUUGGGCCACUCCAGGGCACUGAGCACACUUGCUUUGGCUAUUUGGAGAAGAGGCCAAUAGACACAACUGGCUUCAUCUUCAGGGACACCCAAUAUCUGGCAGCCCUCAGCCCCAGCGGAGUCUUUAUUGAAAGAACUGAUUCAUAGACCAGGCGCGGUGGCUCACGCCUAUAAUCCCAACACUUUGGGAGGCUGCGGUGGGCGGAUCUCGGUCAGGAGAUCGAGACCAUCCUGGUUAACACGGUGAAACCCCAUCUCUACUAAAAAUACAAAAAUAAAAAAAUAGCUGGGUGUGGUGGCAGGCGCCUGUAGUCCCAGCACUUUGGGAGGCCGAGGUGGGCAGAUCACAAGGUCAGGAAUUCAAGACCAGCCUGACCAACAUGGUGAAACCCCAUCUCUACUAAAAAAAUACAAAAAUUAGCUGGGUGUGGUGGUGCACACCUGUAAUCCCAGCCACUCAGAAGGCUGAGGCAGGAGAAUUGCUUGAACCUAGGAGGGGAAGGUUGCAGUGAGCCAAGAUUGCGCCACUGCACUCCAGCCUGGUUGACAGAGCAAGACUCUGUCUCAAGAAAAAAAAAAAGAAAAAGAAAAAAAAAGAAAGAACUGAUUUAUGAAAAGAUUCUUAUCAUGAUUUUCAUUUUACUAGUCCAAAGAUCACUGAGUUAAACUGCCUAUUUUAGUAGAUGAACAAAAGCGCCUUGAAUAAAGACGUAAUUCAAUAAAAACU